AUUAAAAAAUUAUUAUUUAGAUUGUUUAAAAUUUUUUAAAUUAAGUAUAAUAUAAUUUAUUAUAUAAAUAGAAAAAUUUAUUUUUUUUAUAGUUAAUUUGUAUUGUGAAAGAAUUUGUUUAAUUUUUAAAAAGAAAAAUUUAUUUUUUGUACCUUGUGUAUCAGGGUUUAUUUAUUAAUUAUUAAUAAUUUAGUUUUCUCGAAUUUAAAAGAGCUAGAAAUUUAUUAUUAUAAUUAUUGAAUAAAUUUAUUUAAUAAAUUUUUUGUAGUGAAAUGUUAUGCGAUUUUAAAUAUAUCUAGUUUUUUAAGAAAUAAAUUUAAUUUAUUUAUUAAGAAUAUAUUUUUAAAUUUUUAAUUUUAUAUUAUUGAUAGGUAAUAUUUUUAGGGAUGAGCUUAAAAAUAAAAAUUUAGUAAAAUUUUAUUUAUUAUAAAAAAUUUGGAAUUAAAAAUUUUUAAAAUUUAAAGUUUGUUAUUAUUUAUUUAUAUAUUAAAUUAUUUAAAAUUUUAUAAAUAAUUUAUUAAAAAUUAAAUAUUAAUUUAAAUUAUUUAGUUAUAAUGAUAAAAUUAGUAAAUUUGAAUUUGUAUUAAUAAUAAAGUGUAUUAGGUUAAAAAAAGGAAUUCGGCCAAAUAUUUUUCACCUGUUUAUUAAAAACAUGUCUUUUUGUAUUUCUUUAAAGUCUGGCCUGCCCACUGAUAUUUUGAAUGGCCGCGGUAAAUUGACCGUGCUAAGGUAGCAUAAUCAUUAGUUUUUUAAUUGAAAGCUGGAAUGAAGGGUUGGAUGAAAAAAUAACUGUCUCUAUUUAAAUUUUUUUGAAUUUUAUUUUUAAGUAAAAAAGCUUAAAUUUUUUUUAAAGACGAGAAGACCCUAUAGAGUUUUAUAUUUAUGGGAUUUUAUUUAUUUAGGAAUUUUAUUUAAAAAUCUAUUUUUAUUUAAUUGGGGUGAUUAAAAAAUUUAUUGAACUUUUUUUUAUAUUAAUAUUGAUUUAUAAGUGCUUGAUCUAAUAUUUUUGAUUAUAAGAUAAAAUUACCUUAGGGAUAACAGCGUAAUUUUAUUAGAGAGUUCUUAUCGAUAAUAAAGAUUGCGACCUCGAUGUUGGAUUAAAGUUUAUAAUUGGUGUAGAAGCUAUAUUAUUAAGUCUGUUCGACUUUUAAAAUUUUACAUGAUCUGAGUUUAAACCGGUGUAAGCCAGGUUGGUUUCUAUCUUAAAUUAGUUAAUAUAUUUUAGUACGAAAGGACCAAUUAUAUAAAUAAUAUUUUUUAAUUUGAUAAAUAUUAUU
Molecule: ribosomal RNA, 1277 nt
Filed under: Galerucinae sp. 1 ACP-2013
Lineage: Eukaryota; Metazoa; Arthropoda; Insecta; Coleoptera; Chrysomelidae
Description: 16S ribosomal RNA
Rfam family: Archaeal large subunit ribosomal RNA (bases 1034-1192)
Source: RNAcentral